CGGGACGGGGUGAGUAAUGUCUGGGAAACGUGCCUGAUGGAGGGGGAUAACUACUGGAAACGGUAGCUAAUACCGCAUAACGUCGCAAGACCAAAGAGGGGGACCUUCGGGCCUCUUGCCAUCGGAUGUGCCCAGAUGGGAUUAGCUAGUAGGUGGGGUAACGGCUCACCUAGGCGACGAUCCCUAGCUGGUCUGAGAGGAUGACCAGCCACACUGGAACUGAGACACGGUCCAG
RNAcentral lists this ribosomal RNA (235 nucleotides) under uncultured bacterium. RNAcentral's name for it is "partial 16S ribosomal RNA". It matches the Rfam family "Bacterial small subunit ribosomal RNA", at positions 104 to 334 of the family's 1533-position model. The record is from RNAcentral.